This 439-nucleotide ribosomal RNA is filed under the name uncultured bacterium. RNAcentral's name for it is "partial 16S ribosomal RNA". It matches the Rfam family "Bacterial small subunit ribosomal RNA", at positions 339 to 795 of the family's 1533-position model. The record is from RNAcentral.
CUACGGGAUGCACCAGUGAGGAAUAUUGCACAAUGGGGGGAACCCUGAUGCAGCAACGCCGCGUGGAGGAUGACGCAUUUCGGUGUGUAAACUCCUUUUAUAUGUCAAGAAAAUGACGGUAGCAUAUGAAUAAGCACCGGCUAACUCCGUGCCAGCAGCCGCGGUAAUACGGUGGGUGCAAGCGUUACUCGGAAUCACUGGGCGUAAAGGACGCGUAGGCGGGUUGGAAAGUCAGGUGUGAAAUCCUACAGCUUAACUGUAGAACUGCACUUGAAACUUCUAAUCUAGAGUAUGGGAGGGGGAGAUGGAAUUAGAGGUGUAGGGGUAAAAUCCGUGGAUAUCUGUAGGAAUACCUAAAGCGAAGGCGGUCUCCUGGACCAUUACUGACGCUAAGGCGUGAAAGCGUGGGGAGCAAACAGGAUUAGAUACCCGAGUAGUC